Molecule: long non-coding RNA, 990 nt
Filed under: Ananas comosus (pineapple)
Lineage: Eukaryota; Viridiplantae; Streptophyta; Magnoliopsida; Poales; Bromeliaceae
Description: long non-coding RNA (ACOM_LNC029506)
Source: RNAcentral
AUUAUUUUAAAUAUUCAUAUCUUUUGUUUGGAGAAAGAGAAAAAAAGGAGAGCAUUAAAUUAAAAAUUAAACUGAGAGAGAGGAAAGUGGUAUGCACAUUUCGUGGUGAGAAGGGAAAAGAAAAGAGAAAAGGUAUGAUCAUUAAAUUAACGACUUGUUUGGUUCCAGAGUGGAAUUGGAAUGCAUAAUGGAAUGUGAAUGAAUUGGAAUAGGAAUUAAAUUACCCCACUGCCCCAAGACGUUUGGUUCAUUUUUGGAUUGAAAAUUAGAAUGAAUUAUUCCUAUUUCACUGUUUGGUUGAUACAAAGUAAAAAAAAUAGAAUAACAUAAUAUUAAUUUUACAUUCAAAUAUAAUUUUAUAAAACUAUCUAAAAUUUAUAUAAAACAAAUUAAUACUACUCUCAAGUUAGAGCAAUGGCAAAAAAAUUAAAUUUAUUUUAAAAAUUUUUAUGCAAGAAAUUACAAAAAAAAUGCAUAAAUUUUUUUUGAAUAAAAUUAUAAUAAAAAUAAUAUAUCACUUUUUUUUUAAUGCUGAGAAAAGAGGGAAGAGAUAGGUAUAGGGGGAGAAAGGAUGGAUAAGGUGGAGAAAUAUUGGGCUGGGCCUGAGGAAGAGGUGAGUGUGGGCUUGGGAUUGAAACUUCAAUCCGGGCUUGGAGACCGGAAUUAAUUUGUAAGCUAAUAGACCAUUCCCAUUCCGAUCUGAAAUGAAAGUCCUGACCGAUUCCUGUGAACCAAACAAAAUUAGCAGGAUUUGAUCAAACCGAUUCCCAUUCCGAAUCCAAAAUGCACGAACCAAACAGGCCCUAAAUCAAAAUUAAGUAAGAGAGACAAUACCAUAGGGAUUUAAAAUUUUAAAAUUUGAAAUUAAAAAAUUAGAAAUAAAUAUUAUAAAUUUUAAAAUUGUAAAAGUUUAAAUUUAGAAUUCAAAUUUCAAUAUCUAAAAUUUAAAAUUUUAUAAUAUAAAAUUUUAAAACCCUAUAUAUAUAUAUA